GGGAAGGUGGCAGAGUGGUUUAUUGCGUAUGUUUGCUAAACAUAAGUAAAUUUUAAAGGUUUACCGCUGGUUCAAAUCCAGUUCUUUCCG
This 90-nucleotide transfer RNA is filed under the name Phycisphaerae bacterium. RNAcentral describes it as "tRNA-Ser". It matches the Rfam family "tRNA". Rfam says of the family: Transfer RNA (tRNA) molecules are approximately 80 nucleotides in length. Their secondary structure includes four short double-helical elements and three loops (D, anti-codon, and T loops). The record is from RNAcentral. Lineage: Bacteria; Pseudomonadati; Planctomycetota; Phycisphaerae.